CAGGGAGACAAACAACGAUUUUGAUGCCUGAGUACUUUUAUUCUUAGGCCGAAAUCCUGUCACCUUAGGUCGAUCGGUACCUCAACUUCAAUCCUGUGAGUCGUAGGACUGCACAACGAUUGAUUUUUAGUUCCUAAACGUUGUCUAGGUCACCCCAUAGAGGGUUCACUUCCUGGGCCAUUAGCUCAGGUGGUUAGAGCGCACCCCUGAUAAGGGUGAGGUCCCUGGUUCAAGUCCAGGAUGGCCCAUGCCAAAAUCCAGUUUUGGAUCAUUUGGGGGUUUAGCUCAGUUGGUAGAGCGCCUGCUUUGCAAGCAGGAUGUCAGCGGUUCGAGUCCGCUAACCUCCACUAACACAUCUGAACUCCUAAGCCAGGAAGAGCUUCUUGGUUGGUGACUAGACGUUGUUCGCAGAGAAUCCACUGGUUGACCCAGAUGUAUUCAGCCUCAGCUCAUCUCCGAUGACGGAUUGAGCUGAUGCUGAAUUCACUCUCGAAAGAGAGAGGAUUUAGCAGAACCUUGACAACUGCAUAGGUGAGUCUGGAAAGACAAAAGCAUCUCAUAGAGGCUAGUUCGAAAGAGCUAGUGAUUCUAUUUUUGAGAGCCGAGACCUUCUAGCGUUCUUCCUAAUCCGCCGAGGAGCGGGGAGUUUGAUCCUUUUUUCUAACUGAUCGAGGAGCAGAGCAAUCUGUAACUUGAUGAAGAGAAAACUGAGAGAAUGGGCCUCAACAGCCUGAAGCGUUAGGAGAUUAAUU
RNAcentral lists this transfer RNA (752 nucleotides) under uncultured cyanobacterium. Its description in RNAcentral is "partial contains 16S ribosomal RNA, 16S-23S ribosomal RNA intergenic spacer, and 23S ribosomal RNA". The stretch from base 275 to 347 matches the Rfam family "tRNA". Lineage: Bacteria; Bacillati; Cyanobacteriota. The record is from RNAcentral.